Molecule: ribosomal RNA, 422 nt
Filed under: uncultured bacterium
Lineage: Bacteria
Description: bacterial SSU rRNA
Rfam family: Archaeal small subunit ribosomal RNA
Source: RNAcentral
CCCUACGGGGGGCAGCAGUCGCGAAAACUUUGCAAUAAGCGAAAGCUUGACAGGGCUAUCCCGAGUGCCAUCCGCUGAGGAAGGCUUUUACCCAGUCUAGAACGCUGGGGGAAUAAGGAGAGGGCAAGUCUGGUGUCAGCCGCCGCGGUAAUACCAGCUCUCCGAGUGGUGUGGAUGUUUAUUGGGCCUAAAGCAUCCGUAGCUGGCUAAGUUAGUCCCUUGUUAAAUCCACCGAAUUAAUCGUUGGAUUGCGGGGGAUACUGCUUGGCUAGGGGACGAGAGAGGCAGACGGUAUUUUCGGGGUAGGGGUGAAAUCCUAUAAUCCCGGGAAGACCACCAGUGGCGAAGGCUGUCUGCUAGAACGCGCCCGACGGUGAGGGAUGAAAGCUGGGGGAGCGAACCGGAUUAGAUACCCCGGUAGU